RNAcentral lists this transfer RNA (73 nucleotides) under Desulfurellaceae bacterium. Its description in RNAcentral is "tRNA-Lys". It matches the Rfam family "tRNA". Rfam says of the family: Transfer RNA (tRNA) molecules are approximately 80 nucleotides in length. The record is from RNAcentral. Lineage: Bacteria; Pseudomonadati; Campylobacterota; Desulfurellia; Desulfurellales; Desulfurellaceae.
GGGCCGCUAGCUCAGUUGGCAGAGCAGCUGACUCUUAAUCAGCGGGUCCGGAGUUCGAAUCUCCGGCGGCCCA